GGCGGCAGGCCUAACACAUGCAAGUCGAGCGCGCCUUCGGGUGAGCGGCGGACGGGUUAGUAACGCGUGGGAACGUGCCCUUCUCUACGGAAUAGCCUCUGGAAGCGGAGAGUAAUACCGUAUACGCCCUUUGGGGGAAAGAUUUAUCGGAGAAGGAUCGGCCCGCGUUAGAUUAGGUAGUUGGUGGGGUAACGGCCUACCAAGCCUACGAUCUAUAGCUGGUUUUAGAGGAUGAUCAGCAACACUGGGACUGAGACACGGCCCAGACUCCUACGGGAGGCAGCAGUGGGGAAUCUUAGACAAUGGGGGCAACCCUGAUCUAGCCAUGCCGCGUGAGUGAUGAAGGCCUUAGGGUCGUAAAGCUCUUUCGCCUGUGAUGAUAAUGACAGUAGCAGGUAAAGAAACCCCGGCUAACUCCGUGCCAGCAGCCGCGGUAAUACGGAGGGGGUUAGCGUUGUUCGGAAUUACUGGGCGUAAAGCGCGCGUAGGCGGAUUAGAAAGUUGGGGGUGAAAUCCCGGGGCUCAACCCCGGAACUGCCUCCAAAACUGCUAGUCUAGAGUUCGAGAGAGGUGAGUGGAAUUCCGAGUGUAGAGGUGAAAUUCGUAGAUAUUCGGAGGAACACCAGUGGCGAAGGCGGCUCACUGGCUCGAUACUGACGCUGAGGUGCGAAAGUGUGGGGAGCAAACAGGAUUAGAUACCCUGGUAGUCCACACCGUAAACGAUGAAUGCCAGUCGUCGGAUAGUAUACUAUUCGGUGACACACCUAACGGAUUAAGCAUUCCGCCUGGGG
RNAcentral lists this ribosomal RNA (791 nucleotides) under uncultured Alphaproteobacteria bacterium. RNAcentral's name for it is "bacterial SSU rRNA". It matches the Rfam family "Bacterial small subunit ribosomal RNA", at positions 38 to 878 of the family's 1533-position model. Lineage: Bacteria; Pseudomonadati; Pseudomonadota; Alphaproteobacteria. The record is from RNAcentral.